This 232-nucleotide ribosomal RNA is filed under the name uncultured fungus. Its description in RNAcentral is "partial small subunit ribosomal RNA". The stretch from base 110 to 232 matches the Rfam family "Eukaryotic small subunit ribosomal RNA", at positions 743 to 864 of the family's 1831-position model. The record is from RNAcentral. Lineage: Eukaryota; Fungi.
CGCAUUGUGUCGCGGCCGGGUCCGGCGAAAGCCGCGUACUCGCCCGCAAUGCGCUACCUUCCGACCGACGCGCCGCUGCGCUUCGUUGCGUGGCGGCGCGCAUCACCGGCCGGGACUUUUACCUUGAGAAAAUUAGAGUGUUCAAAGCAGGCGCUGUGCGCCCGGAUACAUUAGCAUGGGAUAAUAGAAUAGGACGGCGGUUCUAUUUUGUUGGUUGCCUAGGACCGCAGUA